GGAUGAACGUUGGCGGCGUGCCUAAUACAUGCAAGUCGAACGAAGACUGUAGUAAUACUGUCUUAGUGGCGAACGGGUGAGUAACGCGUGGGUGACCUGCCCCGAAGUGUGGGAUAACAGUCCGAAAGGAUUGCUAAUACUGCAUAAUAUCCAAGAGAUUAGAUGCUUUUGGAUUAAAGGAGUAAUUCGCUUCGGGAGGGGCCCGCGUCCCAUCAGCUAGUUGGUAAGGUAAUGGCUUACCAAGGCGAUGACGGGUAGGGGACCUGAGAGGGUGGCCCCCCACAAUGGAACUGAAACACGGUCCAUACACCUACGGGUGGCAGCAGUAGGGAAUAUUAGUAAUGGGCGAAAGCCUGAACUAGCAACGCCGCGUGUGCGAAGAAGGCCUUCGGGUCGUAAAGCACUUUUUGAGAGGAUGAGGAAGGACGGUACUCUCAGAAUAAGUCUCGGCUAACUACGUGCCAGCAGCCGCGGUAACACGUAGGAGGCAAACGUUAUCCGGAUUUACUGGGCGUAAAGCGCGUGUAGGUGGUUUGGUAAGUAGGGCGUGAAAGCUCCUGGCUCAACUGGGAGAGGACGUUCUAAACUGCCAAGCUUGAGGAUGGUAGAGGGAGGUGGAAUUCCGGGUGUAGCGGUGGAAUGCGCAGAUAUCCGGAGGAACACCAGUGGCGAAGGCGGCCUCCUGGACCACUCCUGACACUCAGACGCGAAAGCUAGGGUAGCAAACGGGAUUAGAGACCCCGGUAGUCCUAGCCCUAAACGAUGUAGACUUGGCGUCGGUGGUUUAAUCGCCAUCGGUGUCGUAGCUAACGCGAUAAGUCUACCGCCUGGGGACUACGGCCGCAAGGUUAAAACUCAAAGGAAUUGACGGGUCCCCGCACAAGCAGCGGAGCGUGUGGUUUAAUUCGAUGCUACACGAAGAACCUUACCUGGGUUUGACAUAGAGGUAGUAGGGAAGCGAGAGCGGACCGACCCUUCGGGGAGCCUCUACAGGUGUUGCAUGGCUGUCGUCAGCUCGUGUCGUGAGAUGUUGGGUUAAGUCCCGCAACGAGCGCAACCCCUGCUUUCAGUUACCAUCAUUAAGUUGGGGACUCUGGAAGGACCGCUGCGGUAACAACGCAGAGGAAGAUGGGGACGAGGUCAAGUCAUCAUGGUCCUUAUGACCGGGGCUACACACGUGCUACAAUGGUAGUUACAGAGGGGAGCGAAGCAGUGAUGUGGAGCGAAUCUCAGAAAAGCUACCCAAGUUCGGAUUGAGGUCUGCAACUCGACCUCAUGAAGCCGGAAUCGCUAGUAAUCGCGCAACAUCAUGGUGCGGUGAAUACGUUCCCGGGCCU
This 1337-nucleotide ribosomal RNA is filed under the name uncultured bacterium. RNAcentral describes it as "bacterial SSU rRNA". It matches the Rfam family "Bacterial small subunit ribosomal RNA", at positions 27 to 1381 of the family's 1533-position model. The record is from RNAcentral.